ACGCACGCUGGCGGCGUGCUUCACACAUGCAAGUCGAACGGAAAGGCCUCUUUCGGGGGGUACUCGAGUGGCGAACGGGUGAGUAACACGUGAGUAACCUGCCCUUGACUUUGGGAUAACUUCAGGAAACUGGGGCUAAUACCGGAUAGGAGCUCCUGCUGCAUGGUGGGGGUUGGAAAGUUUCGGCGGUUGGGGAUGGACUCGCGGCUUAUCAGCUUGUUGGUGGGGUAGUGGCUUACCAAGGCUUUGACGGGUAGCCGGCCUGGGAGGGUGACCGGCCACAUUGGGACUGAGAUACGGCCCAGACUCCUACGGGAGGCAGCAGUGGGGAAUAUUGCACAAUGGGUGGAAGCCUGAUGCAGCAACGCCGUGUGCGGGAUGACGGCCUUCGGGUUGUAAACCGCUUUCGCUCAUGACGAAGCUUUGUGUGACGGUAGUGGGUAAAGAAGCACCGGCUAACUACGUG
Molecule: ribosomal RNA, 466 nt
Filed under: uncultured bacterium
Lineage: Bacteria
Description: partial 16S ribosomal RNA
Rfam family: Bacterial small subunit ribosomal RNA
Source: RNAcentral